UUAGUUUUGGCUUUUCAGCCCUCUGAGACGGGCGCAACGAAAAAUCAAUAAAGUACGAGUGAAGAUCGAGUCGGCGUGAUUUGCGAGAGGACGUAACCGGCCCGCUAGAGCGCAAGCGUCGUCGAACCCCGUGGCCGUGGCGUUACUCCGGCAUUCGGCCAUUUUCCAUUCCGUUCGGCGUCCCCGCUUACGACUACCUACCCAGACAACAAGAUUUGAAAAGCUCCGUAGGAUCAAAAGCUCAUAGCACAGACUCCCAGUUCGCCCUUCGACUGCGAUAUGUCCUCAGAUCAGGUCAAAAUGGAACAGAAGCCGGAAACAAACGGCCAGAUGAAAAUGGACCAGAAUCAAGCGCAACAGCAGCAAUCCCAGCAGAAUCGGCAGAACGACCAGCAUUCCGCCCGCCGAGGCGGCUUCGGUGGAAGGGGUGGAAAAUUCAACGGUCCAAGAAAAGACCAUCAAAAGAUGGAAACCCAUCAGCAUGCUGAUGGCGACAACAAGCCUAACUCUGGAGGCUUUACGGGUGGCCGUGGAGGUCAUGGAGGAAGAGGAAGGCGAGGUGGUGGACAAAUGCGUGACAGAGAUCAAGCUCCGAGAGAUAGUUCAUUCGUUAAUGAGAGACUUUUGAAGCAAAUUUCUGGCCCAACUCUUGAUCUCCCACCUCAAGAGUUUAAGGAGAAGAUGUUUAACGGUAGAUGCCGUCUGUACAUUGGUAAUUUACCUCCAGAUGCAACAGAAGACGAAUUCCUGAAACUGUUUCAACCGUACGGACUGACCAGUGAAUUGUACAUCAAUAAAGAAAAGAAUUUUGCUUUUAUCCGACUGGAUUAUAGAUCUACUGCAGAAAAGGCCAAACGAGAAUUGGAUGGUCAUUCAUUUAAAAACAGAAAUCUUAAAGUAAGAUUUGCUCCUAUUGGUGCAGCGGUCAAAGUUAAAAAUUUGACACAGCAUGUAACCAAUGAAUUACUGGAGCUGGCUUUUUCAGUCUUUGGAGAGGUUGAAAGAGCAAUUGUGUUUGUCGAUGAAAGAGGAAACAGUUUGAGAGAAGGUCUUGUGGAGUUCACGCGAAAAGUUGGAGCAACAAGCGCUCUACGUUUUUGUUCUGAAGGUUGCUUUUUCCUCACAAGCACCCUCAGACCAGUUAUUCUGGAACCCUAUGAUGUAGUUGAAGAUACCGAUGGAUAUUCUGAAAAAUCUAUUGUCAAAAAAGGAGCAGAUUAUUUUGAAGCCAGAGAGAGUGGGCCUCGUUUUGCGAAACAGGGAAGCUUUGAAUUCGAGUUCGGCACUAGGUGGAAACAAAUCCACGAACUGUACAAACAAAAAGAAGAAGCUCUCAAGAGAGAGAUGAAACUUGAAGAAGACAAGUUGGAAGCCCAAAUGCAAUAUGCAAGAUAUGAGCAUGAAACUGAGCUACUACGAGAGCAACUUCGCCAGAGGGAAUUAGACAGAGAACGUCAAAAACGUGAAUGGGAGAUGAAGGAAAGACAGGCUGAAGAGCAGAGAAUUGUCGAAGAAGAAGCUUUGAGACGGCAACAAGAAGAACUGUCACGAAGAAUGUCACAUCAAGAUGAUGAAUUGAGAAGGCGACAACAGGAAAACAGCCUUUUUAUGCAGGGACAACAGUUAAAUAAUCUAAUGGAUCAACAGGAAGCAUCUAUGCAACGUGGUUAUAACAACAGCGCCGGUGACAAUCUCAGAGACUAUGAAGGCAUGGAAGGUACAUAUAAUUAUCAAGGUCAAAGACAAGGGUGUGGGUUAGCGCAAAUUCGUCGCCAAGCAUGAAUAUUUUCUCCAUUCAACUGGUUUUCCAUCAAAACGUUAAUCAAGAAUUGAAAAUGAUACACAACAUGGAAGGAGCUUAAUGACGAAACUUGAGGAUUCUUUGCUGAACUUCAUAUCACGUGCAAACCAGGACGUCGAUGAUGAAAGUUGGGGAUUCUUUGCUGAACUUCAUCAUGUGACAACCAGAUCAUCAAUGAAGGAUGUUGGGGAUUCUUUGCUGAACUUCAUCAUAUGACAACCAGAUCAUCAAUGAAGGAUAUUGGGGAUUCUUUGCUGAACUUCAUCUCAUGUGCCAAUCAGGUUGUUGAUGAUAAAAGUUCAGAAUUCUUUGUGGAACUUGAGGUCAUGUUCCAUCCUGGCCGAUGAAUAAAGUUGAGAAUUCUUUGUGAUCAUCAAGUGUCCAACCAACCAGGUUGUCGAUAAUGAAAAUUAAGGUUUCUAUGCCACAUAUGUCAUUCGCCAGCCAGGUCAUUGAUGAUUAAAAGUUUAGUGUCUGGAUUUUCGUAAAGGAUAUAAAAUUGAAGACGAAGUAGACCACUUUUUCAAGUCAAAGGUUUGGUCCUUACAAAUUUAUGCACUAUCAGCAAUGGGAGGAAAAGUUAAAUGUCGAUUCACAUUUAAACACUACUGAUAGAUUUGUCCAUGGAAUCUAUGGAGUGAUGAGCCUGCAGUUUGGUCUUUUCGAUCAUUUUUGUCCGCCUGUCUAGCUGGUUUGGCCUGCCAGAUGCAUUUCAACAUUUCACAGAAUAUUUUUGAGGCAGCUUGUCUGUUUUUUAUUUUUUAAUUAUUCUAAAAGAGGCUCGUAGAUGUGUUUUUAUAAA
Molecule: RNA transcript, 2603 nt
Organism: Cimex lectularius (bed bug)
Lineage: Eukaryota; Metazoa; Arthropoda; Insecta; Hemiptera; Cimicidae
Gene name: hrp65 protein-like
Exons: 21
Source: RefSeq, a predicted model, not a curated record